Molecule: long non-coding RNA, 511 nt
Filed under: Lotus japonicus
Lineage: Eukaryota; Viridiplantae; Streptophyta; Magnoliopsida; Fabales; Fabaceae
Description: long non-coding RNA (LJAP_LNC000462)
Source: RNAcentral
GGCUGGCUUCAAAUCACGACUCAUCCUCGGCUGCUGUUCUUUUACAAGUGGAGCGUGAAGGUCCCCUUUUGAAUAUCGUUUGCUGCUGCCCUGAAGAAGCAAGCAAAAAAAGACCCAAGCAGGUAAAUUAUAUAGUCCACAGUCACACCAACCAGGCAAUAACAAUACUAGACACAAUAUCUGAACAUAUUUUUACCUUGUUCUUCUCCUUCCAUCCAGUCAAAACAGACACACACCUACACAUGGCCAUGGCAGAAGAUAAAGCUUGUUUCCUUUUUAUCCAAUCUUCUUUGCACUUUCAAACUUAGUACUAGUUGUACAAUUUUGUUGUCGCUCACAUCUCUACAUCUCUACUCUGAUAGUUUAGCAAAUAACCUAGCGAUUGUUUGAGAGAAUGGAAAAUCACAUUGGAGAAGAGUGUAUCAGAAGUUAGCCAUAAUCCGUUGGAAGACGCAGGACAAGUGACAGGCCCCAGUCCAAACAAGACCUGGAUCCAGAAAACCAAGGACCA